Camelus dromedarius (Arabian camel) is the source of this 15978-nucleotide RNA transcript. RefSeq lists it as uncharacterized. Lineage: Eukaryota; Metazoa; Chordata; Mammalia; Artiodactyla; Camelidae. The transcript has 20 exons. The record is from RefSeq and is a predicted model, not a curated record.
CGGAGGCUGGGGCGUUGCUGCCACCAGUGGGCGGGGCAGCGGGGCAGCGGGGCGGGGGCACCCUCACCUGUCCGUGUGUGGGGAUCAGCCUGGGCUCCGUGGCCUCCGCUUGCACCGGACGUGGACCCAGGCUACCGGUGGGCAAGAUAGAGGACUGAGCCCAGGCACGCACGGCUGGCCAGGUGGGAUCCCCACCCCCGCUCAGCCUUCUUUCUGCAUGGAUGCUGAAGGACCAGGCUCACUUGAAGUUCUGAGUUUGAGCAGUAAGGUGGAAACAAAGAAACCAAUGGAAACAAAGAAACAAGUCAUUGUGGCAAAGCUCCCCACCACAGAGAAGCUGCCCUGAGUGGAAGGGAGGGUGUGGGCAUGCCCAUUUGUUUCGUGUCUCCCAGUGCUCUUCGCUUUCUUAUUGCAGACCUGCAUGGUUACAACAAAAUGAUCUGCAAAACUGAAAAUAUUUACUCUCUGGCUUUUACAGAAAAGGCUGACCAGCCUCUGGUUCCCGUACCGGUCAACUGAUUGGAGUACCUUUCCAGUUUGGAAACAUCUGGGCAGGCCCAGGUUUGCAAAAUUCUUUAAGAGUAGUUAUGGAGUUUUGCUUCUAAACAUUUUUAUGGCUGUAUACUUCUGAGCUGAGGUUGUGCUGUGUAAUUCUGAGCCGGGAUUUUCUCAAACUGUUUCUUAUUUCUUAUACCGGACACCCCUAAAUUCCAAGGGGAAUGGGAUGUUAAGGAAGCCAUGGAGUUUAGGAAAAAGAUACAGAUUUCAUUUCCAUUUAAGCAUCGAUGUAUCUCCAUCCUAGGCAGUAUCGGUUCUGUGGUAUUGAUAGGGGAACUAAAUAGCAACCAAAUUUAUAGAAAAUAGUGGGUCAUUGGGUACACAAGUUCUUCUUUUCAACAUUUUUGUAGUGUUUGCAGUUUAAGAUGACCGUUCCUGAGAAACAGGCAGCCUCUUAGAAUGAAAUAGCAUUUUCCCUGAACCAUACUCAAUUUUUAUUUCGUAGACAGCAGGAAGGGCAAUCACACAUCCAACACUUGGGGACCUCAAAGAUAAAACGUAACUUUCUGGGAGCACACUCCCCCCGUCUCCCUCUGCUCUUUUCACUGUCCCAUUGUCCCUGAAGGCUCUUUUGUAUCUUCUGCUCAUGACUCCAGUAACUCUUCCUUCUCGUCCCUCAGCUGGUAAGUUUACUUUUCUACUUUGACCAAGCAAACUGAAGCCAACAGAAGAGAACUUUCACCAGCAACUCCCAGCACAUCCGCUCGCCUUCUGAUGUCUGUGACCUCACUCUCGCUGCCCCACCUCUUAUUACAGGUGACAUCGAAAGCCAGAUCAUCCAAAAGUCACCAGGGGGCCCAUCCAUACAAUCUUCUCCGGGCUGUCACUCCCACAUCCAUCCUCUCUGUCACUACCUCAUCUAUUUUGUUCUCCUGCUAGUUGGCUCCUAUCAGUAUAUAAAAGUCCAUCCUCUUAAAAGAAACAAACAGCACUCCUUGACUCUAAUUGGCCCCCACCAAUUGCCACCCCAUGUCUUUGCAGCAAAUCUUUAAUGAGUCGUUUAAACUCACUGUCUGCAUAUUCUCUUGAGCCAUUCCCUUUGGCACCCACUCUGGCUUUCCCCCUGAUCCCUCGCUCUAUGGAAACUGCUCUGUCAAGGCCAUCAGUGACCCCACGUUGCUAAAUAUAGUGGUCAGUUUUUAGUCUUCAUCAUGCGUGGCCCUUUGGCAGCAUUUGACCCAGCUCUUCCAUUUCUCCUCCCCCGUGUUCCUGCUUCACUUGGCCUCCAGCCCAUCGCUCUGCUUUCGAUCCACUGGCUGGUCUUUUGCCAACGUCUCCUCUUUUUUCCAAAUAUUUACUGCGAAUGUGCCUCGGAGUUGGGUCCUGGGUCUCUCCUCUAUCUCACUGCUAUACUUUUGGUGGAAGCAACCAGACUUGGAAAUUGACAUGCCAUCAAUUUCUCGAUUUGUCCAAAACUCCCUGAUUGGCCUUUUCCAUUUGGAACUCUCUCCCUGAUACUCAUAUUCUUUUUCUUUCAUUCAUCUUGCUUUCACAUUCAUACAUAUGUUCUACUGUGUAAAUUACUUUUCCAAAUUUUGAAUCAGUCCAUACAUAUCAUGUGAAAUGCUCAGAUCUCUAUUAUUUCCACUAAGAUGCUUAUUCUACCUUAGAACCUUUCUGCAUUUCUGUAUUUAUGUCAAUAAAGUGAAUAGUAUUUCUACAAGCCUCAUAGUUAAACAGUGUGUUUGUUUGGGGCUACUAUGUAACAUGAAAUAAUGAUACAUCAACAUAGUCUUUUUUCAUUUAAUUUUAUGUAACACCAAGAUGAGGUUUUUGCACUGAAGACUGUUUCAUUGAAAUUUUACCUACGUUAUGGACAGUCAGUUUAUGUGAAAGCCCUCAUUUCUCCCCUUUUCUGAUAUAUUUUCCAUUUGGCUAUUAUAACAUAUACCUUGGCAUGAAAUAAAAUUCCAAAUCCAUUCACAUAAUAAAAUUAAUACAUUUAAAUUAUAUUUUUUAAUGUUAAAAAGAAAGAAAAAAAAACCCCAGACUCCUCUACCUAUUAGGCAUUUCUGUGGCAAUAUCUAAUAGACUCCUUAAUCAUGACAUUGAAGAACUGAGCUGAUUCCAGCCCCUUUCCACCUGCUCAGCCCCAUCUUGUCCCAUCCCCUGUGGAUGGAGAGGACAUCCAUCCCAUUUUCCAGGUCCAGAUGUUGGAACCAUGUUCUCUCUCUCUCUCUUUCUCUUACACACACACAGACAGCAAAUCCAGCUUGUUAGAAAAUUCUGGCUACUCUGAAAUCAUUAACCACAUACUCCCUGUUCCCCACCCUCCUAGGAGCCACCUUCAACCCCUUGUUGGACACCAAUUAGCCUACUUCUUCCAUCUUUGCUUUUCUACAAUCUCAUCCACACAGAGUCAGAGGGAGCCUUUAAAAGCAUACAUUGAGGGGGUGGGUGUAGCUCAGUGAUACAGUGCAUGCUUAGCAUGCAUGAGAUCCUGGGUUCAAACUACAGCACCUUCACUAAAAUAAAUAAAUUAACCUCCUCCCAAGAAAACUCAAAACAAAAGCAUAAAUUGGACAUCACCCAUCCCAUCAAAACUCACUAAAAGGGUCACCAUUCCAUUAGGAGCCAAAGUCGUCCCAAAGUCUUCGAGGACCCGGCCUGCUCUGCCUCUCCGCCCACACUCUCCCCAUCACUCUGGGGGCCUCUGGCUCCGGCUCUUCCUUCUUCCUCCGGAUCUAUUCUGCUUCAAGUUCAUUACUCCUUGAGAUCUGCCAGGAUUGCCUUAUUCCCUCCUGCCUGCCUCCCACCCCACCACCAUCACCUGAGUUUGCUCAUAUCACUCUUAUUUUUCCCCAAGCUCUUGCUACCCCCAUCAUGUUGCCUGUUUUCUCUGCUAAAACUCUGAGCCCCCAGUGAUGGGGAGUCGUGUCUAUUUUGUUGACUAAUAAAGCCCAAGAGCCUUGGGAAUGGGUAUAGUUACUAGAUUCCCAUAAGUAGUAGGAGCUUAUACAGAUUUGCUGAAUGAAAGCAGAGGUCCUGGUCCAAUUCGAUGGAGCACUUCUGUGUCCUGCUCAAAGAUUAACUCUCCUUUCCUCCUGAGAGAGGGUGACCACUUCCUUGGUGAUCAAAGAUUGAACAGGAUCCAGGGGGAAGUACCAAGCCUGUCCCAUCGGCCAUCCUGUGUGUCAUGUCCUGUGACCCAGAGGAUGCUCAGCACCCUCCAGCUGAAGAAACAGAUUGCCUUAGGUACAUGAAAGGUGAGGACACCUACUAUCCCCAUGGAGCGCAGGUGGGGCUGGGAGUCUGCUGUUUGUACAGCCGGUGGGCUCGUGUUGCUUUGGGCAUCCCUGUGCCUGAAUUCCUGCAGUACACUCGGUGCCUGUUUCCUAAUCUGCAAAACUGGAAUGAUGUUAACCAUCCCGCAGGUUUGUUGAUGGGCUGGGACACACUAGACUGCCAGGAGCUGGAAUUCCUCUGUGCCCUGAUUGUAAUCCUUCCUUCACACUAUUUACUCUCACAAGUUCAGUCUCUCUGUCUCUCUCAUUCACUUGUAACUUUCUCUACUGCUCUGGUUUCAUUUGAUUCCCACCCUCCUCCCAAUCCCCAGAUGAGUGAAAUUAAUUUCUGUGUGUCAGUUCCAAAUUCCCGGGAAAGAUGCUCUGUCCCCUCUGGAUUGGUUGUCCAACCCAUCAGUUGCAGUCAGAGGAGUGAGUCCCUCUGUGACCAGAGGAGGGGCUCUGCCCAGCCCCCCAGCCACCACUGUGGGAGCACAUAGCUCUCCGAGGAGGAGGUACUGGCUGUGACUUGGUGUCACUAAGUGUGAAUUUAUCUCUCCUCUUGCCCCACAUUCAUCCUCCUAAACAAAGAUGAAAAUUAAACACUCCCGAGAUUUGUGUCAUGGAACACUCAGGGUGGGGGCUAAGAGGGCUGGAUUCCCUGCUGAGUGUAAGGGGCUACAGUGACUCCCCAACGAGAGCCUGUAAAGGAAACAGCACCGGCCCCACUGGACAUUAGGGUGCUAAGUCUGCGUGACAUUGAGCCAGGCUUCUGACCACAGCUCAGGGGUCUGUUCUGACCGGUUAGUCUUUGAAACCAACCAGCUUUGGAUUCCUCAAUCCCUCCCUGAGGUUUUACCUGAACCACGAGCUUCUGUAUCUCUGAAGACAGAUGAUGAGGACCCUUCACGUAAGGCAUUUGCACAGCCCUGUGCGGGAAUUUGUGCUGCACGGUCUGCCCGGCGAGCUGACCAAAGUUCGUAUUUUACUGAUCUUAGAAAUAGUCUGGUUUCCUGAUGCACUGUUUCACUGAACAAGCAACAGAAGCCACCUCUGGCUGAUAAAAGCAAAAAAGGGACUUAAUGAAAAGAUACUGGGAGGGUGCAUGGAGUGGCCCAGACCAGAGCCGACCCGGGGGCCGUAGGAGAUGUUGGGGAGCCUCAGGCACCAGGCUGCGCAGGGUGCUACCGGGCCCCCUGCUGCCCCAGCAGGGACCCCACUCCUCCUGACACUCCACCUCACUGCAGGUUCAUGUCCCGGCAGGGCCAGGUCACACUGAAGCCACCAGCACACACCUCAAUGGGGGAGUUGGCCCCUUCUCAGCUGAGGGCGUGCCUGGUGUGGGGAGAUGCCCAGUUAGAGGAAGGCGGUUCCCCUACUGUUCCGAGUUAAUGCGCAAGUCAGUGUCCAUCACUCAGGAGAGCCGGGCUGGUCGGACCUCAUUGUGGUGACUAGGCCGUCUGAGUUCACGUAUUACUUUUUAGGUUGGAAGGCCCAAGAGGGAGAAAAAGUGGAGGUUCUAGUACUUAUUUUAUAUUUCCCAUGUACCAGGUGCGGUAAGCAAGCCACUUCAGACAAGGCCCAUAACAACCACAUUAAUAGGCCACGGAGAAAGUCAUGCAGUCAGGCCUCUGCAGCCCCGAAACCCGUGUCCUCAUCAGUUCCGUAGUUACCAGUGGAAGUUGUAGGGUUUUAUGGGACUGUGUGCUCCUGUGGGGGCUGGGAUGUGUGUGUUUAAAUCCACAUCUUCAGAAACUCGGCCAGAACCACAGCCACUGAUUGUCUGCAUGGAGGCAGAGGAGGGGAGGCUUCCAGCCUCUGGUCCAGCUCGUGUGGAGCUCAGAAGUUGCUCCUUCUGUCCUGAAAACAACACCAGAGCUGAGGGAGCUGCAAACCCACUGCUCUUCUUAGAUCCACAAGAAAACUGAGGGGGAAAGCUGCUCCCAACACAGAGAGGCAGCCGGGCAGGCUUGGAGAGUCACAGCUCCCAGGGCAGAACCCGCUUUUGUAAGAACCCCGGGGGCAGGCAGAUUUAACAGGUCCCUGAGGCCAGCUGGAGGCUCAGCGUGGGGAAGUCCGAGUGUGACAACUCCAGGGGGCCAGUCAGAGGGGCCCCCUGCUCUUUUUCAUGCAUUUUACUUCCAGGACCGUUUCCUGUUCUCAGAGUGAAGAUCAUAGGAAAACUCCUCAUGGUUCCUGCCAGGAAAGGAAAAAAUAGCUCUAUUGAAAUACACCCAGAACAUUCUCUUCCAUUGUGGGUGGUUGUGUUUUGUUUUUUUUUUUAAUGAGAAAUUAUUUUACCAGAGCCUAACCUACCUGGGGGAAGGGAAAUACCUUCUGUGUCACCCAAAUUGGGGUGGGGGAAAGAGACACACUUGUGGAGGUCACAGCUCAGGGCACAGGCUCAAUGAGAACUAAUCACAGGACUACAAAUGCCCUGCUCUGUCCCACUCCCCCAACACCUUACCUCCAUUUCAGUAGGGCCCCUGUGUUAUAACAGGAAUAAAAUUAAAAGAAGUAAAUGUCUCAGGAGUGUCUAGGGAAAACCCAAAGACAGCGGGGAGAUGGAAACAAGGACUCACGGGUGGCUUUAGCCUCUCGCACGAAUAGCUGUAGCAAACUACACACAGCCCAGCCCCAGUAGAUAAACAGAAAACCUCACAGAAGAAACUAUUUAUUUUGGUUCUCUUACCCAGUGCAUUCCAUGGUGCAUCCUCGCCUAGAAUUGAGUGGAAGCAAGUCCAUCUCAGAAGGGACAUACCUGAAGAGAAAUGGCUUUCCAGACUCUGAAGGGCAGAGAAAGCACCAGCCUGGGUUAGAGAAAGAGAACAGCAUCUCUGAGCCCGUCCUGGGUGACCUCACAGAGAUCACCCUAGUGGCCCAGGCUAGUGACCGGGAACAUGUACCUUCCUGCAGCCAACCCCAGACGUCCACUGAUGCAUCAUAUACUGGCAAAGAUCCUGGCCUGGGGGGGUGUUGGCCGCCGGAGAUUCGCCAGAUGUUGGACUCCAGGGGCGGCUUCUGCUGCCGUAGAGGCGGGACGCCGGUCUCCAGGUGAGCUUGGUCCUGGGAGGCGGCGGCGGCGGCGGCGGCUGUGGGUUGGGGUCCAUUCCAGGGAGCUGCUCCAUUUCUUCUCUCCCCCGCGGCCUGGCCUGGGGGCGACCUCUGCCGCCAGAGAUUUGCCUGAGGUCCGACUCCAGGUGAGCUUGCUCCUGGGAGAUGGGUGCGGUGCAGUCAGGGGGCUGGGAUGGUGGUGGCUGCGGGGAUAGGGAGGCUGCCCCGGGGGAGCUUGAGGAUUAGCUCCCAUGUCUGUGCCGCGUGGCCUGCAGGCGGCCUCUGCUGCGCCAGGUCCUGGGACAACCCUUUCCCACUUUGCCUGCUGGGGGCGGGAGGCAGGGUAGUCAGGGUGCACGGGUGGCGGGGGUCGGGGGCCUGCAGCGGGGGAGCGGGUACAUUUGCUCCCAUCUUCCCCGCGGCUUGUCCUGGGGGCGGUGUCUCUUGCCCUGGGUUAAGAGACACGUGUAUCCUAGUCAGCCUGGCCCCAGGAGGCGGGCGUGUUACGUUGGGGGUGGUGGCAGCAGCGGCAGGUUUUCCCAUGGAGCCGGUCCAUUUGCUCCCAUUUCUCCCCGUGGUUUGCCCUGGGGGCGGUCCCUGUUGUCCCUAGUUCGCCGGACGUCCAUCUCCAGGUCAGCCUGCUCCCUAGAGGCGGCCACCGUGAGCUUAACCACCGGAAGUGGGCAGGAUGUGCUGAGGGGGCGGAGGCAGCCGCCAAGGCAGCGACGGAGGGGGCUGUCCCUGGCCAGCCGGUCAAUUUGUUCCCAUCUCAACAUUUGCUGUCCCAGUUUCGCAGGACGCCCUUCUCCAGUUUAUCCUUCUCCUGGGAGGUGACAUUUUAGGUUAUUGGGUCCCAGAUUGCUGGCACACUCAUCCCUGUUCUCAAACAUCUUUUAAACUUGGGUGAAGUGUUAAGUUGGGGAAGAAGAUGAUUUACUGAAAGUCUCCCGAGAAGAGAUUCAGACUGAACAGCUUUGUGUCGGACUUUGGAAGACCGCUGGUGCCCAAGGGGUUCUCUGGCAGCACAAUGACGAAUCUAGGUCCCUCUUUCACUGCUACGUCAAUGAAGUGGACCGCAUGGACAAGGCCAAAGCUGGUAUCCCAACCAUAGCCCUUGACAGUGAUGUUCGGCUCCAGGAAGCCAUCAGAUGCAGCAGGUGGCCAGAGAAGGAGCCUAACGGGCUCAUGAAAUGUGACACCCCCAGCUUCAUCAACACGGACCAGAACUCUUCCUUUGGGGAAGAUGAUCUCCUGAUUUUGGAACCACCGAUUGUUCUAGAAAAUAAGCCAGUUGCCCAGACCUCACACAAAGACUUGAAUUGGAAAUGUGCUUUGUCAAGUGUUUCUCUGAAGAUGUGAAGUCUGUCUUUGUAUGGCAGGAAGUCCCCUUUCACAAAAUUGUAUGUGUUUGUGUCUGAGAGAGAGAAAUGGAGACAGACAGAAAGACGGAGACAGAAGAGAGCCCCCUCAGAAGAGAGCUAGUUAAGCACCCCAGACUGACGAAGACAGUGGAGAAUGCCUCUGAGUUUGGCACUGAUUGCCUGGAGAAUGCUGAAACCCAGGGAAGUGGGCAGCACAGACGUUUACUCAUUUAAUCCUGCCAACACAGUAGGAGAUAGAGUCUACAUAUUCCUCGCUACUUAAAAGAAUAACUUCAUAAUCCUGCAUGUUGCUGGUGGCUCCCAUGUUGGACAGCACGGGCCUAGAGAUUUUAAAUUACUUGCCCAGACUCGCCCAGGAAGCUCGUGGUGGGAUCCGAGCUAUAGUCUGGGACUUUUCCUUCCUAUCCAACAAGUCCCUCAUGGAAGUUUAGAAGCUUCUCCUUUGGUGCCCAGCUGUCUAUCCGUACUUAUAACAUCUUGUCAGGUGUUCCAGCCUGCUCCUGAACAUCAGCCAGAACCCACUUCUGCUCUAUUUUGUCCAGAUCCCUGCCUUCUCUCUGCUCCUCCUGUCCAUGUCUCUCCCUCCACUUUUCCCCUUCUCCCCUCCUCCUCCCAUCUUCUCCGUCCCUCCCUUCCCCAACUUCUCUUGCAGAACACAGAGAGGAUCGCUGGCCCUCCUGCGCAUGCGCAGUGUGUGCCAGCUGGACCGAGGGUUGGAAGCUGCAACUCCGAGCCGGGGAUCGGCCCCAAAGGCUUCUCAGCUCUUUCGCCCGCUCAGUGGUGUGGGCGCUGCUCCCCGGGCUGAGAGCCUCCGGCUGUGAACCCCAGCUUCUCCUGUUGGAGUCGGGAAAAGGGAGCGUCAGUGCUGAGCGAGCUUCCGUCUCCUCCCUCAGUGUUUCUGCCCCAGUACGUUUUGGUUACUGAGACCCUCGAAUUCCCAUAUGAAUUGUAGCAGCAGCUAGUCAGUUUCUGCAGAGGAGACCGCAGGGAUUGUGAUCGAGACCACGUUGAAUAUACGGAUCGUUCUGGGGAGCACUGCCAUUCCAAAAGCGCUGUCUUCUGAUCCAGCAAUGUGCGUGGUUUGUCCAGGUGAUAAUGCUCUGGCUGCUGAAUGUGCCCUUUCCCCAGACUUGGUUUUGGAGUUAAGUCACCAUCAGUGGAGCCCUCUCUUUAAAAGAUGAAGAAAACAUUUGCUCCUUCUCCCUGGUUGGGGACUUGGAUGAGAUGAGGUGCCCUCACCUCCCGUAGCAUCCAUCCAGACACCGGAACUGACACUGGCCGUGCUCCGAACUGCCUCAGCCCUGAAGACACAACUGACAAAUAGAAGGGGACCACGCCCUGUUACAGCAGGUGCUCUCACUUUGUGGAUCCUUAUGUAACUGAGCGGUGUUAAUCAGGAUUGCCCGUUCUACAUUGUGUGGCGCUGCUGCGGUGUCUCCUAGUUACUUGUUUCUCUCGCUUUAUUCACUCAGGGGUAUAUCAUGGACGUCCUCCCACUCCAGACUCACCCGGCCCUUUCAGAUAGAUUGGAGGGGUCUCCUGAUGUGCGGGUGUCGUCUCUUGUCCACGGAAACAUUUGGUGGGAGACUGCUGUGGACAAGGCCCUGGACCACGGCGAAACGCCGGCUCCCUCAGCGCCCGCAGCUCGCCUUGAUUUACCGCAUCAUUGUCUUGAUGGUGGACAGUUAAGUUUUCUCCAUUUUCCACUGUCAGAAAGAAUGUUUGAGUUGCAUCCUUCUUGUACAGAACUUCCUGUGAUCUUGUAUGUGUAUUCCUUUAGUUAAGGCUUCUGGAAAUUUAGUCCCUGGAUGUGACAUUUACAUUCAUCACAGACUCCUUUCAAGUGACUAGAAAUUCCUUCUCCAUUGGGGAAUGAAAAAAUGCACAAUUACUUAUGUAACCAAUUCUCUAUCGCUGGAUAUGAUUUCACUUCAGUUUUUCUUCCCACCUUUGUAAACAGUGCUGUGUAAAUGCCCUGAUGGGUACAUCUUUUUGGACUGAUUUUUUUUUCCUAAAGGAAACGAUUCCUAGAAGUGGAGUUGAGUCAGUGUGUAUGUACGUUUUUCAGAGCUUACAAAUCCAUUGAUAUGUCAUCCUCUGAAAAAGUCGCUCAUGAUUUGUUCUCCCACAGAUGGACACUAGCUAGAUUAUCUUAAAAAUAUUUGCCAAUAUGAUAAGCAAAAGUGCUUUUUCAUUGUUUUUUUUGCAUUUGAUGACCAGUGAAGUUUUGAGCAUUUUUCACUCAUUAGUCAUUUGACUUUUUUAAAAUGAAUGAUUCCUUUUGUCCUUUGCCCACAUUUAAGUGAGGGAGCUUCUUGUUGCUUUGUGACAGCUUUUUGUAUGUUAUGAAAAUUAACUUCGUGAAUUCAUCAACAUGUAUCACAGAGCUUUUUCUUGUCAUUUCUUUCCUUUCAUUUUGUUCAGGAAGUUUUCUGAUUUUUGUUGUGGCUCAAACUAUUCUUAGGAUAGUAAAUGUCUUCCUUAUGGGUUUUAUCUUUGACAUUAUUCUUAGAAAUACUCUCUUAUAAUGGAAUAAAUCUCUUCUGUAGGUUUUUUUUAAUCUCUAAGAUGGAGAUUAUAAUAGUACAUGUUAUAGUGAGGAGAAGUUGAGUUAAUAAGAGCAAAGAGUUGUAUUUGCUGUUACUAGUACUUUUUAAUAUUUACAUCGCUAUCUGCAAUUUAUCUUGUGGUCAUUAUGACAGGAGUAGAAUUUAUUCUUUCCAGGUGAUUCUCUGUCCCAGGACAAUUAUCGAAUUCAUAAUUUUCUCUUUGAUUUGAAAUCCCACCUGUACAAAAUACUUACAUACACUAGAGUCUUUUUUGAGCUCAUGGUUCCCUUCUGUCAAUCUCCUUUCCUUACUCCAGCACCAUAUCUUACAUGUUGUAAAAAUUUAUUUAAUAACUGGCAGUCUGAUUUUUUUUGAUUCUUUUCUUCCAUCCCAAAUUUUCUUGUCAAGUAUUAUGACUUUAUUAUUCCUGAAGAAUUCCAAAAUAUUUUGUUCAAGUUAAAAAAAAUCAGAUUGGAAUUUUCAUGGGAUUUUUUAGUAAGUUUUGAAUUAUUCUUAGGAGAACUUACAUCUUUACAAAACUGCUUUUCUCCAUGCAAUAUGUUUAUGUCUCUACAUUCAUACCUCUUACUUUAACCCUCAGUACAGUCCUGAAGUUUCUCCAUUUAGAAUAUGGGCAUUAUUUUUGAAUUUAUUCCAGAUUAUUGUUUAUGUUUUUGUUAAUUUUGUAAGUGAGAAUUUUUUGCUAUUAUAUUUUUAAAUGUUUAAAACUGACAUUUAGAAAGGAAGAUUCGGUUUGUCAAUACUCACUUUGUAACUUGUCAUUUAAAAUUGUAAGUAUUAAGUACUUGUUCCAGAAUCCUUUCUUUUCUGUUUUUUAAAAUUUGUUUCCAAGAUUCUCAAAAUGUUCAUAGCUAAGUAGUAUAGGUGGGGACACAGAUGGAGAGAGGAAGUGUGGCUCACGAACAAACUGUGAGCAAUUUCAUGGCUGCCUUUAGGCUGGAGAAGCCACAGAAGAGCCCAGGUUAGACCAAGGGUGGCUUUGUAUGCACUUGAAAGCCAGCUUUCCUGCCUGUAUGGUGAAGCCUGGUGGGCGUGGCAGGUAGAUGAUCAAGGUCUGAUCAAGGUCAUUGGCUGCACAGAGCACUGUGUCUGUGAGAACUGGAGACCAUUACCAUGGGAAAUGCUUGGCGCCAGGAACACUGCAGGGGAGCUGGGGAGCCUGUGUGUUAAGGAUUUUCCAGCCCUGGGAGUGGGAAGAUGAGACUCUGCAUUCAGAUCUGAGUUUGAAUUCAUCCUCUCUUGUUUACUGGUCCUCUGACUUUUGUCAAGUUAUCUACCCGCUUUGAACUCCUGUUUUCUUGUCUCUCAAAACAGGAGAAUUACAGCCUGCUGCUAGAGUGUUUGAUCAGGGUAAAUGAUUUGUGUCUAUAAGAUGCCACGUACAGUCACAAUCUCAGUGAGAAAUGGGCUGUCGCCUCUUCUUCUGCAACUCAGUGCUCGAUAAGACAUCGGGGGAAAGCCAGUCCCUAAUUUGUAUGUGAUGCAAUGAGGAACAAAAUUAACGUCUUGCCUUUCCCUAGCAGGAUUCUUAUUUCUUUGCUUCAUUUACCUCUUUCCUCCUUUACUCUCCCCUUUCACCUCCUCCACCAAAAGAGACUGAGUCUGUCUCAGAACACUACAUUCAAAUUACUUUAAAUGUUGGCUCAUCCCCAUGAAAUUACAGUGAAAUUAAAAAUAAUCUGUACACGUCCCAGACAUGAUUAUAUUUGAUUUACACACACACACACACACACACACACACACACACACACACACACACACAAUCAGGCUACCUCCCAUUUGCUGAGGGAGAAGGACCACUUUUUCUGAGUUUUCAUUCACUGAGCGUGAGAGCAAAGUCUCUUAAGCAGAAAUUCGCCUGGCUUCUUGCAUGGUUUUUUAAAUUGGAUUUCUGCUUUGUGUCCACAGAAAUAGACUCCUAUUAGAAGAGGGGAAGUGGAGACAUAGAUAUUCUGCUGAGAUAUUGGUGUCAUCAUAUUUGAGUUGGAAAGGACUUACGACAGCAUAGAGUCGUACCUUUUUAUGGGUGAGAAUCCAUGAUAGUGUAACUUGGACAAGAACCCGGGUCUUCUGUCUUCAUGUCCACGCGGAUGAAGAGGCAACUGGGUGGGGGAUGGCAGGGAUCCUUACUUGAGUUCCGGGGUCUUGCUAGUUUCCAUUGUUCAGCUGCCUUUAGUUUAUGUCCAUGUGGCCUCUCAUGGGAAGGUCACUCUAUCCUGAUAGAUUGAGUUUCUAAUCAGCAAAAAGGUCUGGACCCACUCAUGUUUCCCAGAGAUUUUCUGCUGACCUGCUGACAGUUUAUAUACAUGAGAUCUUAGAAACUGCUGGAUAUAAAAUCCUUAUUGUUAUCAUUUGCCCUCGAGUUCCACAGGAAUGGGGUGCUGUCUCAGGCUGUCUAAGGCCAGCUCUGAACAAAGAUAGGGUGAUAGGCUGUGCAGCUGGACACUCCCCAGUCGAAUGGGAUUUCCACCUUAGUUUUUAGAAUCAGGCAGAUGAGUUCAAAUCUUACCUUUACCAGUUAUUAGCUUUGUGACCUUGAGGAAGAAACUUUACUUUUUUGGGGACAAAUUUUCUUUAUCCGUAAAUAAGUUCAGUAUUUAUUUUAGGGUUUUUGUUUUAGAAUUGAAUGAGCUAAUUCCCUCAUUUAUUCCUAAAAUACUGAUCACAUGGUUCUAUGCUGGUGACCUAGUGGUUGAUUACUAAGGGACUCAGUAGUGAGAAUGUGGGUGAGGCUCCCUGGAUAAUAGAGCUUAUAUUCCAUGAUAUGCUUGUAAAAGACUGGAUUGCAGUGGAUUUUUAGUAAAUGUCCAUUCUUUUCCUAAUCCCCAUUGAUUGUGUAUAUAUCUUUAUACUAAUAUAUGAACAAUUUUUUAUUGCAAUAUAAGUCUUUUUGUAGUAUUUAAAGUAUGUAGCUAUAACAAAAAUACGUGAAAUAAAAUGAUUUGACUUUUAUUUUCUUUUCAAUAAACAAAACAAAAUAAAAUAGAAAAGAAAAGAAAAAGUUUUGAAGGAGUAGAAAUAAUUUUAUUUCCGUGUAAUCGACUCCCUAUGUUAGGUUUUUCGGUUGUGUUCUUAAACAGCAUAUAAAAUUGACAGGUUUUGACUUCAGUGUUGAUAGCUGGGUGAGUAUAGUUUCUUUUUGUGGUUGUCUUUGAUGAAUUAUUUGCACUAGAUCAUAAAUAAUGUGCAUGUUACAUAUUGGAAACGAGGAAAGAGUGGAGACAUACUACCUCCAAUGCAGUCAUUUUGUUACCGAGUCCAAACUCAUUCUGCUCACCAAAUGACAGGCCAAUAAACUGGGAGAUGAGGUGUUGGAGCAAGGAAUAGUGACUUUAUUUGCAAAGCUGGCAGACCCAGAAGAUGGCAGACUGAUGUCCUGAAGAACCAUCUUCCCCAAGUCAGAAUUGAGUCUCCUUUUAUACUAAAAAGGGGUGGGGCUGCAGUUGGUUGUUGGAAACUUCUUGUUGUAUGAAUUGCUUGUCCUUUGAAUCCGCUGUUCUUGCAGCUGUCCAUGUGGUCAAAUCAUGUUGCCAUUGUAAUACCUCCAAAAGUAAAACAAAGUUAUUCUCUAUUUUGCAACUUGCCAUCUCUACAUAAGUGCAGAUUAGUUAGCAUCCUUCAAGAUCACGGCCAGGAGAAGAGGCUGUCCUGGAUAUUUCAGUCUAAAGGCAACUUUCUUUUACAAAUGGUGCAGAGAUAGCAAGUCUGAGCCUAGAAAACAGGGCACAGGUUUAAAGCCAAAGGAACAGACCUAACAUGGGGUCAAAAUUGUUCUUUUCUAUUACAAUUCCCUUUUCCGCUUCAUAGAUAAUUUUAGUAAGAAACAUGAGCAAUUUUGUAUUUUUGCUUCUUAAUAACCGAUAAGUGGGCCAACUAUAUUUUUGUGAGCAGGGAUGCUGUGCGGGCAUAGGGGUCACAGCAAACUCUUGUUGGGGGUGGCCGACCCUGGAACAUGUCUGAUGCCCCGUGAGUGUUGGUGAGGGUCCCCUAGCCAGCGGCUCUCUUCAGGAGGCAGCAUAUGGGCAUUGAUAUCUGGAGACCUCAUUUUCGGCUGCAGGAAAUUUUUUAGAUACUGCGAUUGAAAAAUCACUCCAGCUGGGGAUAAUUAGGGAAAAAAGGAAAAGUAAAAGGGUUUGGAGUAGAGUAGAAGAGAAGGACAUCAGAUCACGGAGCCUGAGUGCUUGGCAGCGGGGCUUCGGGGGAGAGGGGAGCAGACGUGGGGAGGGGCCUGGCACCGGAACCAGCUCCUGCACCUGUCAACAUGCCCAAGCCACAUAGCUUUUAAUUGGGCCACCUCUCUGGGCUGGAUGUCACCCUGUGCAGAACCUUGAGAAUCGAAGGUAAGGGGUGGGCAGCACUCACCUAGGGGUCACUGUAGAUUUCGGUCAAGUCCACAGUGCCUUUUCUGUUCAUGUGUCUUCACUUGUCCUUUAUCUCAGGAUCUGAGGAGGAGGAGAAAGGAACUCAGAUAGAAAUCCAGGAAGAUAUCCGACUGUGUUAAGAGAGGACAGACACAGUGACACGGGGAGCGAGGACACUUGCAGCAAAUGUAAGAAUGCCGGUGACUGAGUUAGAAGCAUGCUCCCAAGCUGUCCGUGUCCUUGCCAUUCAGAAGCGGACCCUGGAAGCUUCCAAAUUUCUCCAGAAUGCGUUCUACAUUCACCUUCGGCAGGUGAGUGUAUGUCUUUACACAAGUGGAGGAAUUACUGCCGUUUUCCUGGACCUUACUCACCACUAGUCCAUCUGAUUUUUCUGUGCUAGGAUUCAGUAUGGCCUGCUAAAAUAUCUGGAGUCAGAUCUUGAAACACUGAUGAAGAGGAUCAUUUAUUUUAUUUCUAUAUAUGAUAGCCUUUUACUUUCAAAAUUCAGAAUUUUUGGUUCUUUCAGGAAUUUUUGGGGGGUUGGCGAAACAACUUUGCUCUUACAAUCUUUGAGACCUGUUGCUUUGUGCCUCUCACCUGUCUUCUGUCACUUGUGAGAGGCGAUUCCAUUUGUGACCCUGUCCGGGUUGUUCAUGUUAUAAAACAUAUAGUCUGUUAAAGUACAGUCCCUUUUACUCUAAAGACAUUCCACAAAUACUACUAAAACCUGGGUGUGGUUUUAAGAAGACAGAAUCAUUAGAAAAUGUACUUGCAGGUUGCUAGUGCAAAAUCCCCAAAUCAAUAGUCCAGCUCAACAUCUAAAAUCUAU